UCGGGAAUCUUGCACAAUGGGCGAAAGCCUGAUGCAGCAACGCCGUGUGAGUGAGGAAGGCCUUCGGGUCGUAAAGCUCUGUUGUUGGGGACGAAGGGCGAAGGGUUAAUAGCCCCCAGCCUGACGGUACCCUUCGAGGAAGCCCCGGCUAACUCCGUGCCAGCAGCCGCGGUAAUACGGAGGGGGUUAGCGUUGUUCGGAAUUACUGGGCGUAAAGCGCACGUAGGCGGACCAGUCAGUCAGAGGUGAAAUCCCAGGGCUCAACCCUGGAACUGCCUUUGAUACUGCUGGUCUCGAGUCCGAGAGAGGUGAGUGGAAUUCCGAGUGUAGAGGUGAAAUUCGUAGAUAUUCGGAGGAACACCAGUGGCGAAGGCGGCUCACUGGCUCGGUACUGACGCUGAGGUGCGAAAGCGUGGGGAGCAAACAGGAUUAGAUACCCGUGUAGUCC
This 448-nucleotide ribosomal RNA is filed under the name uncultured prokaryote. RNAcentral describes it as "bacterial SSU rRNA". It matches the Rfam family "Bacterial small subunit ribosomal RNA", at positions 355 to 796 of the family's 1533-position model. The record is from RNAcentral.